AGCGGGAGUAAGGGCGGAGCGCGAGGCGGCGAGGCCAGCGUCCAGUCUUAUAUUUCUGGCUGCUGUGGUCAUUCACUGAUUCAAUGAACGGCACAAUGGCUGCAUCGUCUAACAGGAUCAUGCUGGGCCCCCUCGUAGCCGCUAUCGACCAAGGCACGAGUUCCACACGCUUUCUGGUUUUCAAUGCAAAAACAGCAGAGCUUCUCAGUCACCAUCAGGUUGAGAUUAAACAGAGCUUUCCUAAAGAGGGCUGGGUGGAGGAGGAUCCUAAAGAGAUUCUUCAGUCUGUGUACGAGUGCAUGGACAGAACCUGCGAGAAACUGACUCAGCUCAACAUUGACAUCUCGAACAUAAAAGCUAUUGGUGUGACCAAUCAGAGGGAAACCACCCUUGUUUGGGACAAGGAAACGGGAGAACCACUUUAUAAUGCUAUAGUUUGGCUUGAUCUGCGUACCCAGUCAACAGUAGAAAGGCUCAUCAACAAAACUCCAGGCAGAAACAAAAACCAUCUCAAGCACAAAACUGGCCUACCCAUCAGCACAUACUUCAGCGCAGUGAAGUUGCGCUGGCUGAUGGACAAUGUGGAGAAGGUCCAUGAAGCUGUGCUCUCUCACAGGGCCAUGUUUGGAACCGUGGAUUCCUGGCUCAUCUGGUGCCUGACAGGGGGGAAGAAAGGAGGUGUUCACUGCACAGAUGUAACCAAUGCCAGCCGGACAAUGCUCUUCAAUAUUCACACAAUGGACUGGGAUCCGGAGCUCUGCAAAUAUUUUGAUAUACCAAUGGAAAUUCUGCCAAAAGUGAGAAGUUCCUCAGAGAUUUAUGGUUUAAUGAAAAUCAGCUCUAAUCUGAAAUCUGGCCCUUUAACUGGGAUCCCCAUAUCAGGGUGUCUUGGGGACCAGUCUGCUGCACUGGUGGGACAGAUGUGUUUCAAGGAUGGACAAGCCAAAAAUACUUAUGGGACUGGUUGUUUCCUGCUUAAAAACGUAGGAACAAAGCCUGUAAUGUCGGACCAUGGACUUCUGACGACGGUCGCGUAUAAACUAGGGCGUGACAAGCCGGCCUGCUAUGCACUAGAGGGUUCAGUGGCUAUUGCAGGGGCAGUUGUACGUUGGCUAAAGGAUAAUCUCGGAAUUAUCCAAACCUCUACAGAGCUAGAGAAACUAGCUGCUGAAGUUGGCACAUCAUAUGGCUGUUAUUUUGUCCCUGCAUUCUCUGGAUUAUAUGCACCAUACUGGGAACCAAGCGCUAGAGGAAUCAUCUGUGGUCUAACACAGUUCACCAAUAGGAGUCAUUUGGCUUUUGCAGCACUCGAAGCUGUCUGCUUUCAAACACGAGAGAUUCUGGAUGCAAUGAACCAGGACAGUGGUAUUCAUCUGUCCCAGCUCCAGGUUGAUGGAGGCAUGACGUCCAACCGGUUACUGAUGCAGCUGCAGGCCGACAUACUGUGCAUCCCAGUGGUAAAGCCGUCCAUGCCUGAGACCACAGCUCUGGGUGCUGCCAUGGCAGCAGGAGCAGCUGAGGGGGUCAGUGUGUGGAGCCUAAAUCCAGAAGAUCUCUCGGAGGUCACUUCAGAAAAAUAUGAACCUCAGAUCAACCCAGAGGGUAAUGGAAUCUAGGGGGCACCACACGCCAGAUCAUAAGUAAUGCAAAUUACGUGAACAACAUGCGGUACUGAACAACUUGAUGGAUUUUUGCAGAGCACAACAUUGUGUUCAUGCUUAAGGGAUUGUUCACACUUUUGAUCUGGACCGAAAAUAGAAAAACCAAAAAUUUGAACAUUGUAGUCCUCUUAGGAAUUACGCAGUUAUUUUAAUAGCGAAAUUAAAGAUACAAAAUGCAUAAGAAUAUGGUUACAUGGUUCUUAUGACAAGAAGGAGGGUAUGCUUCAGCAUUCUGUCCUUUUUAUGGUCUCUUUUAAGGUCGCAUUGUGUGACAUCACUUCCUGUUUUGGUUAGUUGAGGUGUCUUUUGUCCACUGUAUGUUUGGAAGCAGACUGAGAGCCGCCUCUUCAGGGGUCUCGAUCCGUUUGUUGUAUGCUCACCAAGGUUUGGACGGCAUCAUUCACAGCAGAGUGAACUGCGAUAUGCUCGCUGGAAGAAAGCUGUUCAGAGGGCUAUGAACUGGGAAACCACAGAACCAGUGAACAAUGGAAAUGCAGGGCAGAAGUGAACUAGAACCUUACUGCAUUGCAGAAGAUUGAAAAUGAAGCCAUUAGAAGGUCCAUGGCUUACCCCUUCAAAGUCAAGAUGUGCUGUAGUGGCCUUGGAAAAAGACAUUCCAAUUGAAAGUUGUUCAUUUAUAAUUUCUGCAGAAAGCAUUGAGACCUUUCUGGCCACGUAGCAGGAGGUUUUAUUGACCAUAUCUGGUAUGAUGAAAUCAUUAUUUGUGAUGUCCUCACUACUGUAGUUUCCCUACACUGUACAGUACAUUCUAAUACAAGUGUCAAUCAUAGUAAGCAACUCAGUCAGUCAUUGUCAAAUUUUAUAUAUAUUUUUUAAUAGCACUAAUGGUCACAGACAGCAGCUGAUGUGUGUCUGUGUAUGAGGUGUACGGUGUGGUUUGAAAGAGCAAGACAUGCUAUUAGUACAAAUGAGUUGCUUCUCAAACCUAUUCAGGAACGUUUUAGUGCACUUUAUAAUGUAUUAUUGCUGUUGUGUGUAAAACAGCGAGGGAACCGUACAAUCUCAUGUACAUAAUGUUAUAUUUUUCCUUAUCUUUUACUAUUUCAUAUGCCAAUUGAACACAUUUUGCCAUUAUUGUCAACAAAAUGACUGUGCAUAGAAGUCCAGUCAACCUGCCCGAAGCACUGUGGCCCUGCUGAUAGACUGCACUACUGCAUAGCUUCUGAGCAUUACACAGGAUGUCCCUUGAGCAGUUCUGAGCGAGUCGACAGCUGAACAGUUACUGACGAGGUCUGCGGAACUACGUUUUGUUGUCAAUUGUAGAGCUCUGUGUUGUCUUAUUCGGUCAAGUCACUGUAAUUUAAUCUCUGAAAUUCUGCGUGUGAAUUACAUUACUGUGCAGCUGAAGGAAGCAAUGAUGUUAAAAUACUAAGUUCAAAUGAAUUUUAUAUUUUCUUUCACUUCCAGAAACUGGUGUGUGUUUAAAUAUCUAAUCUGAACUUGAAAGGAAAUAGUAGGCACCUGAUUUUCUGUCGUACUUGAUGUCUGUGUAAUGAAAUAUCACAAGUUUCAUAACAAUGAAGACUUUAUGUAAACAUAAACCGAUUACUUUUUUGUUUGUUUAAUUGUAUAAUAACAAAUAAUUUUAACUGUUGCCAAUUUAGUUUGCAUUUUGAAAAGCCAAUCCGUUUUCUGAGAAGUAUUUAUAUAAUGUACUCUGAAUGGUACUUGCUUGAUUUGUCUUUGCUUUGUGUCCAUGAUUACUUGAAAUGCAAAAAUUGUUUAAAACGUUGAUUUACAAAAAAAGUAGCCAGUAUUAAACGCAAGUCAUUUGUUUUCUUCACUGUA
RNA transcript from Puntigrus tetrazona (Sumatra barb), 3470 nucleotides. It is a transcript of the gene named glycerol kinase, with no coding region annotated. The transcript is spliced from 20 exons. Lineage: Eukaryota; Metazoa; Chordata; Actinopteri; Cypriniformes; Cyprinidae. The record is from RefSeq and is a predicted model, not a curated record.